Small nucleolar RNA from Sorex fumeus (smoky shrew), 106 nucleotides. RefSeq annotates it as small nucleolar RNA U13. NCBI's taxonomy places the organism in Eukaryota, Metazoa, Chordata, Mammalia, Eulipotyphla, Soricidae. The transcript has a single exon. The record is from RefSeq and is a predicted model, not a curated record.
AUCGUUUUCUAGUUCACAAGCAUGAUGAUUGGUUUUUCACAUCCAAUUUGUGUGAUGUGCCUCUCUUAAAUCUUAUUAUGACAUCCAGCACAUUACCUAUAUGUGU